GUGGGGAAUCUUCCGCAAUGGACGAAAGUCUGACGGAGCAACGCCGCGUGAACGAUGACGGCCUUCGGGUUGUAAAGUUCUGUUAUACGGGACGAAUGGUACGACGGUCAAUACCCGUCGUAAGUGACGGUACCGUAAGAGAAAGCCACGGCUAACUACGUGCCAGCAGCCGCGGUAAUACGUAGGUGGCAAGCGUUGUCCGGAAUUAUUGGGCGUAAAGGGCGCGCAGGCGGCGUCGUAAGUCGGUCUUAAAAGUGCGGGGCUUAACCCCGUGAGGGGACCGAAACUGCGAUGCUAGAGUAUCGGAGAGGAAAGCGGAAUUCCUAGUGUAGCGGUGAAAUGCGUAGAUAUUAGGAGGAACACCAGUGGCGAAAGCGGCUUUCUGGACGACAACUGACGCUGAGGCGCGAAAGCCAGGGGAGCAAACGGGAUUAGAAACCCCAGUAGUCC
This 450-nucleotide ribosomal RNA is filed under the name uncultured bacterium. Its description in RNAcentral is "partial 16S ribosomal RNA". It matches the Rfam family "Bacterial small subunit ribosomal RNA", at positions 354 to 796 of the family's 1533-position model. The record is from RNAcentral.